RNAcentral lists this ribosomal RNA (497 nucleotides) under uncultured bacterium. RNAcentral describes it as "partial 16S ribosomal RNA". It matches the Rfam family "Bacterial small subunit ribosomal RNA", at positions 30 to 523 of the family's 1533-position model. The record is from RNAcentral.
AUUGAACGCUGGCGGCAGGCCUAACACAUGCAAGUCGAGCGUGAAAGUCCUUCGGGAUGAGUAAAGCGGCGGACGGGUGAGUAACGCGUAGGAAUCUACCUGAUAGUGGGGGAUAACGUUCCGAAAGGGGCGCUAAUACCGCAUACGUUCUGAGGAAGAAAGCGGGGGCUCGCAAGACCUCGCGCUAUCAGAUGAGCCUGCGUCCGAUUAGCUAGUUGGUGGGGUAAAGGCCUACCAAGGCGACGAUCGGUAACUGGUCUGAGAGGAUGAUCAGUCACACUGGAACUGAGACACGGUCCAGACUCCUACGGGAGGCAGCAGUGGGGAAUAUUGGACAAUGGGCGCAAGCCUGAUCCAGCCAUGCCGCGUGUGUGAAGAAGGCCUUCGGGUUGUAAAGCACUUUAAGCGGGGAGGAAGGCCUGAUGGCUAAUAUCCAUCAGGAUUGACGUUACCCGCAGAAUAAGCACCGGCAAACUUCGUGCCAGCCGCCGCUGUAA